GCCCUUAGAGUUUGAUCCUGGCUCAGGACGAACGCUGGCGGCGUGCUUAACACAUGCAAGUCGAGCGAAGCUGCCCUGGUAACUUUGUUACCGGGGUUGACUGAGCGGCGAACGGGUGAGUAACACGUGGAUAACCUGCCCGGAAGUCCGGGAUAACAGCUCGAAAGGGCUGCUAAUACCGGAUAAUGUGAGGAGGUAACAGCCUUCUUACCAAAGCGUCUAGCGCUUCCGGAUGGGUUCGCGGCUCAUUAGCUAGUUGGUAGGGUAAAGGCCUACCAAGGCGACGAUGGGUAGCUGGUCUGAGAGGACGAUCAGCCACACUGGGACUGAGACACGGCCCAGACUCCUACGGGAGGCAGCAGUGGGGAAUCUUGCGCAAUGGGGGAAACCCUGACGCAGCGACGCCGUGUGGGCGAAGAAGGCCUUCGGGUUGUAAAGCCCUGUCUGGGGGGAUUAUGGUGACUGUACCC
This 470-nucleotide ribosomal RNA is filed under the name uncultured low G+C Gram-positive bacterium. RNAcentral describes it as "bacterial SSU rRNA". It matches the Rfam family "Bacterial small subunit ribosomal RNA", at positions 1 to 480 of the family's 1533-position model. The record is from RNAcentral. Lineage: Bacteria; Bacillati; Bacillota.